Molecule: non-coding RNA, 270 nt
Organism: Labrus bergylta (ballan wrasse)
Lineage: Eukaryota; Metazoa; Chordata; Actinopteri; Labriformes; Labridae
Source: RefSeq, a predicted model, not a curated record
GCGUUGGUGGUUGAUCUUCGUGCCCGUGGUGGUUUUUAUAGUUCUGUUAGUGGUUGUUGUGAAAGUCAUCAGACGGAAAGGAAACAGAACGCAGAUGGGUGACGAUGUUGAGCUGACCUCAGACCCUGCAGGGUCUCGGUCUGCUGCAGGGACCGGUCAGGACACGGCUGAUCCUGAAGGCGGGGUUUCCUACGCCUCCAUCAGAUACAACAAGAAGGGGAAAAGAGAAGCUCGGGUUUGUGCUAAAGACAAUGCUGACGAUGGUUCAGU